CUUGGUGUCUAUAGUGCGAAGGGUACACCUGUUCCCAUUCCGAACACAGCAGUUAAGCUUCGUAACGUCGAUGGUACUUCGUGGCUUCACGUGGGAGAGUAGAUAGGUGCCAAGA
Molecule: ribosomal RNA, 115 nt
Filed under: Candidatus Altimarinota bacterium
Lineage: Bacteria; Candidatus Altimarinota
Source: RNAcentral